GCGGCGGACGGGUGAGUAAUGCCUAGGAAUCUGCCUGGUAGUGGGGNNNNNNNUUCCGAAAGGAACGCUAAUACCGCAUACGUCCUACGGGAGAAAGCGGGGGAUCUUCGGACCUCGCGCUAUCAGAUGAGCCUAGGUCGGAUUAGCUAGUUGGUGAGGUAAUGGCUCACCAAGGCGACGAUCCGUAACUGGUCUGAGAGGAUGAUCAGUCACACUGGAACUGAGACACGGUCCAGACUCCUACGGGAGGCAGCAGUGGGGAAUAUUGGACAAUGGGCGAAAGCCUGAUCCAGCCAUGCCGCGUGUGUGAAGAAGGUCUUCGGAUUGUAAAGCACUUUAAGUUGGGAGGAAGGGUAUUCACCUAAUACGUGAGUAUUUUGACGUUACCGACAGAAUAAGCACCGGCUAACUUCGUGCCAGCAGCCGCGGUAAUACGAAGGGUGCAAGCGUUAAUCGGAAUUACUGGGCGUAAAGCGCGCGUAGGUGGUUCGUUAAGUUGGAUGUGAAAGCCCCGGGCUCAACCUGGGAACUGCAUCCAAAACUGGCGAGCUAGAGUACGGUAGAGGGUAGUGNAAUUUCCUGUGUAGCGGUGAAAUGCGUANAUAUAGGAAGGAACACCAGUGGCGAANGGNNACUACCUGGACUGAUACUGACACUGAGGUGCGAAAGCGUGGGGAGCAAACAGGAUUAGAUACCCNGGNAGUCCACGCCGUAAACNAUGUCAACUAGCCGUNNGNANCNNNGANAUUUUANNNGNNCANCUAACGCNUNAAGUNGACCGCCNGGGGNANUANGNCCG
RNAcentral lists this ribosomal RNA (799 nucleotides) under Pseudomonas sp. PH-a. Its description in RNAcentral is "partial 16S ribosomal RNA". It matches the Rfam family "Bacterial small subunit ribosomal RNA", at positions 95 to 888 of the family's 1533-position model. Lineage: Bacteria; Pseudomonadati; Pseudomonadota; Gammaproteobacteria; Pseudomonadales; Pseudomonadaceae. The record is from RNAcentral.